AAAUAUAUAGGUGAUGGAGUUCACCUUUAACUAUUGCAAUUUUGCAAUUAAUGACUCCUACUUGGAC
This 67-nucleotide non-coding RNA is filed under the name Alkalithermobacter paradoxus. RNAcentral describes it as "Clostridium thermoalcaliphilum Fluoride sequence". It matches the Rfam family "Fluoride riboswitch aptamer (crcB RNA motif)". The record is from Rfam by way of RNAcentral. Lineage: Bacteria; Bacillati; Bacillota; Clostridia; Peptostreptococcales; Tepidibacteraceae.